Molecule: long non-coding RNA, 236 nt
Filed under: Mytilus galloprovincialis (Mediterranean mussel)
Lineage: Eukaryota; Metazoa; Mollusca; Bivalvia; Mytilida; Mytilidae
Source: RNAcentral
AAAUUAAAAAGAUCAUAUCAUAAGCAACAAGUGUACUAAGUUUCAAGUUGAUUGGACUUCAGCUUCAUCAAAAACUACCUUGACCAAAAACUUUAACCUGAAACUCCCACUUUCAUUUUCUAUGUUCAGUGGACCGUGAAAUUGGGGUCAAAAGUCUAAUUUGGCUUAAAAAUUAGAAAGAUCAUCUCAUAAGCAACAAAUGUACUAAGUUUCAAGUUGAUUGGACUUCAGCUUCA